UACGUAGGGGGCUAGCGUUGUCCGGAAUCAUUGGGCGUAAAGAGCGCGUAGGCGGCCCGGUAAGUCUGCUGUAAAAGUCAAAGGCUUAACCUUUGAAAGUCAGUGGAUACUGCCGGGCUAGAGUCCGGAAGAGGCGAGUGGAACUCCUGGUGUAGCGGUGGAAUGCGCAGAUAUCAGGAAGAACACCAACGGCGAAGGCAGCUCGCUAGGACGGAGCUGACGCUGAGGCGCGAAAGCGUGGGGAGCAAACAGG
RNAcentral lists this ribosomal RNA (253 nucleotides) under uncultured bacterium. RNAcentral's name for it is "partial 16S ribosomal RNA". It matches the Rfam family "Bacterial small subunit ribosomal RNA", at positions 524 to 776 of the family's 1533-position model. The record is from RNAcentral.